RNAcentral lists this small nuclear RNA (116 nucleotides) under Erinaceus europaeus (western European hedgehog). Its description in RNAcentral is "U5 spliceosomal RNA". It matches the Rfam family "U5 spliceosomal RNA". Rfam says of the family: U5 RNA is a component of both types of known spliceosome. The record is from Rfam by way of RNAcentral. Lineage: Eukaryota; Metazoa; Chordata; Mammalia; Eulipotyphla; Erinaceidae.
AUACUCUGGUUUCUCUUCAGAUCACAUAAAUAUUUUGCUUUUUACUAAAGAUUUUUGUGGAGAGGAACAAUUCUGAGUUUUAUCUCAAUUUUUUGAGCCCUUGUCUUAGCAGGGGU